Molecule: ribosomal RNA, 483 nt
Filed under: uncultured bacterium
Lineage: Bacteria
Description: partial 16S ribosomal RNA
Rfam family: Bacterial small subunit ribosomal RNA
Source: RNAcentral
GACGAACGCUGGCGGCGUGCUUAACACAUGCAAGUCGAACGCUGAAGCUCAGCUUUUGUCGGGUGGAUGAGUGGCGAACGGGUGAGUAACACGUGAGUAACCUGCCCCCUUCUUUGGGAUAACGCCCGGAAACGGGUGCUAAUACUGGAUAUUCACUGGUCUUCGCAUGGGGGUUGGUGGAAAGGGUUUUUCUGGUGGGGGAUGGGCUCGCGGCCUAUCAGCUUGUUGGUGGGGUGAUGGCCUACCAAGGCUUUGACGGGUAGCCGGCCUGAGAGGGUGACCGGUCACAUUGGGACUGAGAUACGGCCCAGACUCCUACGGGAGGCAGCAGUGGGGAAUAUUGCACAAUGGGCGCAAGCCUGAUGCAGCGACGCCGCGUGAGGGAUGGAGGCCUUCGGGUUGUGAACCUCUUUCGCUCAUGGUCAAGCCGCAACAAUGGUUGUGGUGAGGGUAGUGGGUAAAGAAGCGCCGGCUAACUACGUG